UACGGGGGGGGCAAGCGUUGUUCGGAAUUACUGGGCGUAAAGGGCUCGUAGGCGGCCCACUAUGUCAGACGUGAAAUCCCUCGGCUUAACCGGGGAACUGCAUCUGAUACUGGAUGACUUGAGUUUGGGAGAGGGAUGCGGAAUUCCAGGUGUAGCGGUGAAAUGCGUAGAUAUCUGGAGGAACACCGGUGGCGAAGGCGGCAUCCUGGACCAACACUGACGCUGAGGAGCGAAAGCCAGGGGAGCAAACGGG
This 253-nucleotide ribosomal RNA is filed under the name uncultured bacterium. Its description in RNAcentral is "partial 16S ribosomal RNA". It matches the Rfam family "Bacterial small subunit ribosomal RNA", at positions 524 to 776 of the family's 1533-position model. The record is from RNAcentral.